RNAcentral lists this ribosomal RNA (497 nucleotides) under uncultured bacterium. RNAcentral describes it as "partial 16S ribosomal RNA". It matches the Rfam family "Bacterial small subunit ribosomal RNA", at positions 28 to 507 of the family's 1533-position model. The record is from RNAcentral.
GAUGAACGCUGGCGGCGUGCCUAAUACAUGCAAGUCGAGCGAACAGACGAGGAGCUUGCUCCUCUGACGUUAGCGACGGACGGGUGAGUAACACGUGGAUAACCUACCUAUAAGACUGGGAUAACUUCGGGAAACCGGAGCUAAUACCGGAUAAUAUAUUGAACCGCAUGGUUCAAUAGUGAAAGACGGUUUUGCUGUCACUUAUAGAUGGAUCCGCGCCGCAUUAGCUAGUUGGUAAGGUAACGGCUUACCAAGGCAACGAUGCGUAGCCGACCUGAGAGGGUGAUCGGCCACACUGGAACUGAGACACGGUCCAGACUCCUACGGGAGGCAGCAGUAGGGAAUCUUCCGCAAAGGGCGAAAGCUUGACGGAGCAACGCCGCGUGAGUGAUGAAGGUCUUCGGAUCGUAAAACUCUGUUAUUAGGGAAGAACAAAUGUGUAAGUAACUAUGCACGUCUUGACGGUACCUAAUCAGAAAGCCACGGCUAACUACGUG